Molecule: ribosomal RNA, 358 nt
Filed under: uncultured soil bacterium
Lineage: Bacteria
Description: bacterial SSU rRNA
Rfam family: Bacterial small subunit ribosomal RNA
Source: RNAcentral
AGGACGAACGCUGGCGGCGUGCUUAACACAUGCAAGUCGAGCGGUAAGGCCCUUUCGGGGGUACACGAGCGGCGAACGGGUGAGUAACACGUGAGCAAUCUGCCCUUCACUUCGGGAUAAGCCUCGGAAACGGGGUCUAAUACCGGAUAUGACUGCGCCAUGCAUGUGGUGUGGUGGAAAGUUCUGGCGGUGAGGGACGAGCUCGCGGCCUAUCAGCUUGUGGUGGGGUAAUGGCCUACCAAGGCUUCGACGGGUAGCCGGCCUGGAGAGGGUGACCGGCCACACGUGGGACUGAGACGACGGCCAGACUCCGUACGGGAGCCAGCAGGUAGGGAAUGUUGGACAAGUGGGACAAGCC